This 843-nucleotide ribosomal RNA is filed under the name uncultured bacterium. Its description in RNAcentral is "bacterial SSU rRNA". It matches the Rfam family "Bacterial small subunit ribosomal RNA", at positions 61 to 859 of the family's 1533-position model. The record is from RNAcentral.
GUCGAACGCGUCUCCGUUAAUGAUUUUAGGUGCUUGCACUUGAAAGAUUUAACAUUGAGACGAGUGGCGAACUGGUGAGUAACACGUGGGUAACCUGCCCUUGAAGUAGGGGAUAACACUUGGAAACAGGUGCUAAUACCGUAUAACAACCAAAACCACCUGGUUUUGGUUUAAAAGACGGCUUCGGCUGUCACUUUAGGAUGGACCCGCGGCGUAUUAGCUUGUUGGUAAGGUAACGGCCUACCAAGGCGAUGAUACGUAGCCGACCUGAGAGGGUAAUCGGCCACAUUGGGACUGAGACACGGCCCAAACUCCUACGGGAGGCAGCAGUAGGGAAUCUUCCACAAUGGACGAAAGUCUGAUGGAGCAACGCCGCGUGAGUGAUGAAGGGUUUCGGCUCGUAAAACUCUGUUGUUGGAGAAGAACAGGUGUCAGAGUAACUGUUGACAUCUUGACGGUAUCCAACCAGAAAGCCACGGCUAACUACGUGCCAGCAGCCGCGGUAAUACGUAGGUGGCAAGCGUUGUCCGGAUUUAUUGGGCGUAAAGCGAGCGCAGGCGGUUUUUUAGGUCUGAUGUGAAAGCCUUCGGCUUAACCGGAGAAGUGCAUCGGAAACCGGGAGACUUGAGUGCAGAAGAGGACAGUGGAACUCCAUGUGUAGCGGUGAAAUGCGUAGAUAUAUGGAAGAACACCAGUGGCGAAGGCGGCUGUCUGGUCUGUAACUGACGCUGAGGCUCGAAAGCAUGGGUAGCGAACAGGAUUAGAUACCCUGGUAGUCCAUGCCGUAAACGAUGAGUGCUAAGUGUUGGAGGGUUUCCGCCCUUCAGUGCUGCAGCUAACGCA